RNAcentral lists this ribosomal RNA (767 nucleotides) under uncultured bacterium. RNAcentral describes it as "bacterial SSU rRNA". It matches the Rfam family "Bacterial small subunit ribosomal RNA", at positions 734 to 1504 of the family's 1533-position model. The record is from RNAcentral.
UCGAUACUGACACUGAGGUGCGAAAGCGUGGGAGCAAACGGGAUUAGAUACCCCGGUAGUCACGCCGUAAACGAUGUCUACUAGCCGUUGGAGGACUUGAUCCUUUAGUGGCGCAGCUAACGCGAUAAGUAGACCGCCUGGGGAGUACGGUCGCAAGAUUAAAACUCAAAUGAAUUGACGGGGGCCCGCACAAGCGGUGGAGCAUGUGGUUUAAUUCGAAGCAACGCGAAGAACCUUACCUACUCUUGACAUCCAGUGAACUUUUGAGAGAUCAAUUGGUGCCUUCGGGAACACUGAGACAGGUGCUGCAUGGCUGUCGUCAGCUCGUGUUGUGAAAUGUUGGGUUAAGUCCCGUAACGAGCGCAACCCUUGUCCUUAGUUACCAUCAUUAAGUUGGGGACUCUAAGGAGACUGCCGGUGACAAACCGGAGGAAGGCGGGGACGACGUCAAGUCAUCAUGGCCCUUACGAGUAGGGCUACACACGUGCUACAAUGGCAUGUACAAAGGGUUGCCAAGCCGCGAGGUGGAGCUAAUCCCAUAAAGCAUGUCGUAGUCCGGAUUGGAGUCUGCAACUCGACUCCAUGAAGUCGGAAUCGCUAGUAAUCGUGAAUCAGAAUGUCACGGUGAAUACGUUCCCGGGCCUUGUACACACCGCCCGUCACACCAUGGGAGUGGGUUGCUCCAGAAGUAGAUAGCUUAACCUUCGGGAGGGCGUUUACCACGGAGUGAUUCAUGACUGGGGUGAAGUCGUAACAAGGUAGCCGUA